UGUUCACUGUUCAUAGUGCAUCUUAUCUACUAAUUAGGCCUAUCACUGUCUCACUUCUGCAGAGCCAAUCUUGUGAAAAUACAUCAAAUGUAAAGUAAUAGCUACUUACGAAUAAGCUUCGGAAUUGUUGAGACAAUUUCAUCGCCGAACUGGCAACGAAACCAUGAGGAUUAUUCGAUCACUUCUGUCUCUGUCAAGACAAAGAUUCCCUGCCCCACCAAAAGCUUCUAUCGUUUUCCCACAAGAGGAAAUUCGAAACUUCUGGCAGCUGCUGAAGAGUAAGAGACUAUGGUGGCUUGCAAUACCCACAUUUUUCUGGGCACACCAUGUUCAAUACAGAAAUGAUGUUUCCUGCGUUGCUGCGGUCCGAUCAGAUGUAAAACUGUAUCCCAAGAAACCACACGUGCCAUAUUUUCAUCUUUAGCAUUUCAUUUGUUUUGCCUAAUACAGUAAUCUGAUAAAUUUGUAUCAACACUACACUAUUGUGUGCAAGGUUUUGUGAGGAUAAAGUAAAGCAGUUGAAUAUCUGUUUCUCUCUUUCGUUAUCCUCAUUCAUUUCUCCCUAAUAGGAUGAAUGGGCAUUCCUUCAUUCUGUGUCAGUAAAAUUAAUGAGGUUAUAUACCAACUGUUACA
Molecule: non-coding RNA, 633 nt
Organism: Styela clava
Lineage: Eukaryota; Metazoa; Chordata; Ascidiacea; Stolidobranchia; Styelidae
Source: RefSeq, a predicted model, not a curated record